Magnolia sinica is the source of this 380-nucleotide long non-coding RNA. RefSeq lists it as uncharacterized. The record is from RefSeq and is a predicted model, not a curated record. The transcript is spliced from 2 exons. Lineage: Eukaryota; Viridiplantae; Streptophyta; Magnoliopsida; Magnoliales; Magnoliaceae.
CAGUGCCUAACAAAGUCGAUGCUGAGCUUGGAACCAAACAACCUGAAUCUCAACCCUCCGUCAAAUAUGCAUUGGCUCCUGCAGAGGAAGGGCGACAACAGGUGGAAGGGAUGAAGAAACAAAAGAUUCCAUCUGGGCCCAACCCAAUUGGAAAUCUGCACCCACCAGAUCGGCCGUAGAUAAAAGAUAAGAUCAACAGCUUUUGUCAUGCGUAGCAAGUAGGAGUUUGGGCGGUGAUGUUCGUUUUGUAGUCUGAAUGUGGAUGAAAUAUUUCUAGGUAAGUUUGAUAAGUUGAUGGAUGUGGUGUGCUGGUUGUAUAAGCAUAAGAUUUAAUUAUUCUUGGGUAGGAAUGCAUCUAAAGCUUCUUGGUAGCUGAGUAA